GAUUUCUGGUACGGUGCGCCUGACCCACUGUCGAAAGGCGUGUGUUGUGUCGGAGUGCGUCUGCCAUCCUUUAGGCAAGUCAGUCUCACUUCACUGGGAGGCUGGUGAACCUAAUCGUUUACUUUGAAAAAAUUAGAGUGUUUAAAGCAGGCUUGCGCCUUGAAUACAUUAGCAUGGAAUAAUAAUUUAGGACUUUGUUCCUAUUUUGUUGGUUUUAAGGAAUGAAGUAAUGAUUGAUAGGGAUAGUUGGGGGUGCUAGUAUUCAUCGGCCAGAGGUGAAAUUCUUGGAUUCGAUGAAGACUAACUUAUGCGAAAGCAUU
RNAcentral lists this ribosomal RNA (320 nucleotides) under uncultured Paracercomonas. RNAcentral describes it as "SSU rRNA". The stretch from base 80 to 320 matches the Rfam family "Eukaryotic small subunit ribosomal RNA", at positions 713 to 955 of the family's 1831-position model. The record is from RNAcentral. Lineage: Eukaryota; Cercozoa; Cercomonadida; Cercomonadidae.